UGAUAGCACCAAAAAUAACUCUACUCACUACGUAGGUAGGAUGAGUCGAGAUCGUAUCCUCAGGGACCUUGGGUUAAGUUGAGAUUGCAAGAUAAAAGAAAGAAGCGUUGUUUUUGAUUUAGAAAAUAAAUUAUCUUAAAAUUGAGGUAAUUAGAAAAUAAAGAACUUGGGAGUUUUGAAUUACUUUGCACUAGCAGAGUUGUAUCUCUUUUUUUUUAAUUAAAUGGAUGCGAUUAAUCUUAGAAAAAAUACCUGUCUUUCCUCGGCACGCUCCGUACCCAUAGAUCACGGCGCGUCUCCGAAAAGUAUUAGGUAAAUAACUCUUCUUUCCUCGGCACGCCCCG
RNAcentral lists this long non-coding RNA (344 nucleotides) under Elaeis guineensis (African oil palm). Its description in RNAcentral is "long non-coding RNA (EGUI_LNC013434)". The record is from RNAcentral. Lineage: Eukaryota; Viridiplantae; Streptophyta; Magnoliopsida; Arecales; Arecaceae.